Dreissena polymorpha is the source of this 661-nucleotide long non-coding RNA. RefSeq lists it as uncharacterized. The record is from RefSeq and is a predicted model, not a curated record. NCBI's taxonomy places the organism in Eukaryota, Metazoa, Mollusca, Bivalvia, Myida, Dreissenidae. The transcript has 2 exons.
UUAUGACAGAUGUAAUUCAAUAGGUUUUAUUGAUGAAAACAUGUCAGAGGUCCAUGGCAUAGAAAAUACAACCCUCAUAACAAAAUUCAGCAACAGUUUAGAGUAAAUACAUCAUACAAAAUAACAGAUUUCCAAUUUAGGAAUCAUACAUGAACCUGCAAGCACCUGAGUGUAGAAAUAAAUUAACUACUUACAUAUCAAUCAUGACUCGUAUAAGAUAUACUUUCACAUCAUAAAUAAUACACAUUCAUUUUAUUCUCCAGCUAAAAAUUUGUUCACCAUUUUAAAAAGUUGUAUUCUGUGUGAGGAUAGUCUUUGUCUAGCUUACGGGCUAUGUAUGUAGAUGUGCAGAACCUAUCUGCAGACUACCUCUAGUACAUCACAAAUAGUUUUAUGUGUUGGGACAGACUAAAACCAAUGUUUAUCAAUUGAUCCUUGUUACGGAAAACUGAGCUUAAUUCAUGCACGUAGUAUUGGUCCGGAUUAGCCUGUACAGUGUGCGCAAGUUAUCAGUGAAAUUUUCCCCUUUAUGGAAUUUUUUAUUUAAAGGAUGUAUCUUCUAAACACAAAUUCUUUCUUGGUGGAAAGUGUCAAACCUGAUAAGCCUGUGCAGACUGCAGAGGCGUAUCCAUUAUGACACUUCACGCACAUGCAUUCAGCC